CCAUUUUAUUUUCUUGGAGAAUGAAGCACAUGGGACAAAAGAAUGCAACAUUUGAAUGGUUUAAUUGAAGAAAGAAAAUGGCAUUUUUGUUGGAGGGGUGCACCUCACGGCCCAUGUGGUCUUGUUAAUCCAUUUGCACUUUUAAUUUCAUUUGGUGGAUGAAUAUUGGUCACAUGAAUGUGUAGGAAAAAGCAUGUUUAAUUAUUCCUUUGUUUUGCAUUAAUUUUCAUAGUAGGAUUAGUUACUUUUUAGUUUCUCUAAUUUAGUUUUGCAUUUAAUGUAAUUUAACUGUGUUAGGUAGUGGUUUGUUGUCUUGUUGGGGUCUAGUAUUUUAUUUUAUUUUGUUUGAAUGUUGUCUAAGGUUUGUAAUAAUGUUAGUUUAAUUACCAUGCUAGCUUAACUUAGUUUGUUUGCAUCUGUGUCUUUAUUGACUUCUUUAAUUUUUGCAAAACCAUUUUCACAAACCCCCCCCC
Molecule: long non-coding RNA, 473 nt
Filed under: Vigna radiata
Lineage: Eukaryota; Viridiplantae; Streptophyta; Magnoliopsida; Fabales; Fabaceae
Description: long non-coding RNA (VRAD_LNC015052)
Source: RNAcentral